This 161-nucleotide unclassified non-coding RNA is filed under the name uncultured fungus. RNAcentral describes it as "sequence contains ITS1, 5.8S rRNA gene". The record is from RNAcentral. Lineage: Eukaryota; Fungi.
CAGAGCAUCAUGCCCUUCGGGGUAGAUCUCCCACCCUGUGUAUUUUAUACCUUUUGUUGCUUUGGCGGGCCGCCCUCGGCCACCGGCUUCGGCUGGUGCGUGCCUGCCAGAGGACCCCAAACUCUGAAUGUUAGUGUCGUCUGAGUACUAUAUAAUAGUUA